RNAcentral lists this transfer RNA (72 nucleotides) under Basidiobolus meristosporus CBS 931.73. It matches the Rfam family "tRNA". From Rfam's summary of the family: Transfer RNA (tRNA) molecules are approximately 80 nucleotides in length. The record is from Rfam by way of RNAcentral. Lineage: Eukaryota; Fungi; Basidiobolomycota; Basidiobolomycetes; Basidiobolales; Basidiobolaceae.
AGCAACAUAGCGCAGAGGAAGCACACGGGGCUCAUAACCCUGAGGUUGGAGGAUCAAAACCUCUUGCUUCUA